RNAcentral lists this non-coding RNA (26 nucleotides) under Homo sapiens (human). The record is from RNAcentral. Lineage: Eukaryota; Metazoa; Chordata; Mammalia; Primates; Hominidae.
UGCCAUCCAAGUAUCAGGUCCUGGAA